This is a long non-coding RNA of Scaptodrosophila lebanonensis, 918 nucleotides long. RefSeq lists it as uncharacterized. NCBI's taxonomy places the organism in Eukaryota, Metazoa, Arthropoda, Insecta, Diptera, Drosophilidae. The record is from RefSeq and is a predicted model, not a curated record. The transcript has 2 exons.
GGAUUCGUGGCGAGUUCCCUCGAUGGCCAAGUAUUUCUCCUUGACGGGAUGGGGGUUAUCCCGCCCCUGCUCGGUCACCAGAGCCCCACUGGGAUGCACCGCCGAUGCGGUAGGGGUUGGAAUAUAGCCCGUCCGGCCUUUAUAUAAACUCGCUUAAGAACCCAGCCAAAAUAUGUUUUGAUCCUAAAAGGCUGCACCAGGAUUUGGAGUAUUAGGUCCGAAUUACCGGGAGGUCCUAAAAGUAUGCAGCACCAGCGCUGCAAUUUACCAAGCCUUGAACCGCCCUCUGGUGUCAAAGCCUGGCACUCUCUUGAGGAGCGGCUGGGUGGCCACCAGAUGGUACAAUGCAACCCUGCGUAAGCUGGGCAGCCAGCUGUUGUGAAUGCAACUGUGCGACUGCCUAUAGCGCGUGGGCGGAGCAACAGCGAAAAUAAAAACAAAAAGUAUACUCACGCUAGGCCUGCUUGACCAGCGCUAGUACGUCUCAGUAGGGAUCAAAGUUCAGGGGUCAAAGUCCAGACGCCGGACCACCAAACCACAAAGAUGGGGCAGGAGUGGCACCCGACCAGGCUUGUGUCACAGACAGGGGUAAAUCAAAUAUGUAUUUAUGCAUAAAAAUGGCGAGGACUCCUAGUCAGGUUGGUGGCACCUACUGUUCCUUUCUCUUGCCAAUGCCUUCACUGUCUUGCAAAACUUUAAUUACUUUGGCGCCAAAAGUUCAGCCCAACGACAGCAGCGCAGUUAACUUUGCCGAAUCCUAAAACUUUAAGCCGCUUACAAACAUAACCCAAAAUGCAAACUAAAAAGGAGAAGAAGACCAAAACGUAGAAGGAAACCUGCAGCCAGCAAACAAACGAGCUCAACGUUUUUGCACUUGUGUGUCAAUAAAAUAAAAUAAAAAAGAGGAAAACACGCUCA